Molecule: long non-coding RNA, 3014 nt
Organism: Ahaetulla prasina
Lineage: Eukaryota; Metazoa; Chordata; Lepidosauria; Squamata; Colubridae
Exons: 3
Source: RefSeq, a predicted model, not a curated record
GAAAGAAAGAAAGAAAGAAAGAAAGGAGGGAAGAAGGAAGGAGGAAGGAGGAAGGAAGAUAGAUAGAUGGAGGAAGGAAAAAGAAAGAAAGAAAGAAAGAAGGAGGGAAGAAGGAAAGAAGGAAGGAAGGAAGAAAGAAAGAAAGAUAGAUAGAUAGAUAGAUGGAGGAAGGAAAAAGAAAGAAAGAAAGGAGGGAAGAAGGAAGGAAGGAAGAAAGAAAGAAAGAAAGAAAGAAAGAAAGAAAGAAAGGGAGGGAGGCACUGGGGAAAUGAAGCAGGAGAGUCCAGAUAACUUAUCUGAAAAAGAGUUUGUUCUCUGGAGCCAACUGGCCAGACUGGGUUGUGUUCCGACACAGCGACACCUGGACCCAGACAAGAGGCAGCAUUCCAGAUGGGUCAAGGGUCCUGCAGCCUCUUGUCAGAAGGGAGAGAACCCACAUGCCCUUUGCAAACCAGCCAAAGGACCGGAUCAAUGGUGAGGCCCUGGGAUCCAGAAGUUUCAGUUUGGAGACCUCUGGUCUGUCCCACUCAACACGUUGGUCUGGGGAAUCCACCCACGGGCCUCCCUUGCCCUGAUAUAAUAACAUUCAUCCACCCUCCUGACCAAGUUGCUGGAAAGAGCUUAAAAGAAAAAUGACAAUACCGUAUGCCUGUUGUUGUUUUAAAUAAAUGUGACCAUUGAUUGAGCACAACUCUGAUUAAAAUAGAUGCCUGCCUUGUGCAGCUUACAAUUUAAUGAUGGGAAAGAAUUGUUCAGGCGGGUUCUCAGAUAUGUAAAUUCAAGCUUUGGGGGAUUCAGCUGAAAACAAAGGCAGCAAAAGCACCAAAGAGUCCUGAACUUCUAAAGUAAAACAAUACAAACUUCAGUAUAUAUAUAUAGAAACCCCAGAAGCCCUCCAUAGAGCUUUAACAUUCUGAGCAACCACUGAAGUUCCUUGAAACUAAAAAGUGAUCAGAAGCUGUCAUAAAACUUUCUAAGGGGAUGGUGGGACUAGGGAAGAUCCUGAUAUAUGAGACUCAUUAGGUGACUGGAAUAUAUUUUGCAUAUGCUCGGAAGAACACAUUAAAAAAAGGAGUCGCCUCUACAAACUCUGAAAGAUUUCCCAGCCUGCCUACCUUUCAAGACUGUUGUGAGGAUAAAAUGAAGAGAGCAAUCCAUGGAAUGGAAGUUAUUCUGGGCUCCAGGACAAAAGGCAGAAUAUAUACCUGGAAACCAGAAGAAUCAUCCUGACAUCAGAGAUUUUACUCUUUAAAACCCACUAAAGGUUCCAUUUUUUUUUCUUGGCCAAUUAGAAAAACCAUUCCUAUACUUGUGCCUGGAGAAGGUUCGAACAAACAAUGGGACACUUUGUCGAACUCAAAAGAAACAGAAGAUUAUACAAGUGGGGAUUCACUUCAUGGCAACAAAAUGAUUGCAUUUGCCAUUAUCUUCUGGCGCUUUUUUUUUUAAAUGUCCUUGUCUAUCUUAGAAUCUUAGGAUUUCUUAGUGGCACUCUAUUCAAAUACUAACCAAGUCUGAUAGUUUCUUCUUCUUCUUCUGAGAUCAGCUAAGGUUGGUUUGAUGCUGCCAUCUGCUGUUACAAAGGAAGCAGCUCCUUAGGUGAGGUGCUUCAAAAAAGUGCAGACAGGUAUUACGUUCAGGCUACUUUGUCCUCUAAAGCAGGGUUCUCCAACCUUGGCAACUUUAAAAUAUUUGGACUUCAACUCCCAGAGGACUCUGAGAGUUGAAAUCCACAAGUCUUAAAGUUGCCAAGGUUGGAGACCCCUGCUCUAAAGCAGUAUUUCUCAAGCUUGGCACCUUUAAAAUAUGUGGACUUCAACUCCCAGAAUUCCCCAGCUGCCGUUAGCCAUCCCUCCCAAUUAGUGUCAUCUAUAAAGUUUUUUUAGUGUCUCUUCAAGUUUCUCAUUCAGGUCAUAGAUUAAAAAAGGACAAAGCCCAGGACAAAGCUCGGUAUAUCUGUAGUUUAUCCAGAUCAUAUAUCUGUGGAUCCUGUAUAUCCAGACCAUCUUGCCUUGAAUGAGGUUAUUCCCUUCUCCAGAGCAAUACUCCACAUUUUUCCUAUCUUUGGAUGCGAAAGCUGUGCUCACAGAGGCCCAAUGGUAAGUUUUUCAACCUUGGCAAUUUUCAGAUGUGUGGACUUCAACUUCCCAGCCAGAUCAAUUCUGGGAGUUGAAGUCCACAUCUCUUAAAGUUGCCAAGGUUGAAAAACACUAUUCUAAAGCACUUUUUUUGAAAUAAGAUCUGAAAUCCUACACACAUGCCUACUGCACCUUUGCAAAAUAUUCUAUACUGGACUGGCCUCCUUGUAAUGUACCUAGGAGCAAGUCUACCAUUUCUGCAACAGAAUAAAAUAAAUUCUUUAUUGGCUAAGUGUGAUUAGAAACACAAGGAAUUUGUCUCUGGUGAUUAAGCUCUCACUGUACAUACAAGCAACAAGUGAUAAAUCAUGCUCAUAAUACAAUCAUAAAUCAUAAAAUACAACACUCAUUCAUAAGAUACUAUAUAAAAGCAAGCAACAUAAAUCAUACGAUACGAACAACAAAGUCAUCGUCAUAAGAUGCUAAAAGGUAAUAAGAGGUGAUAAUAAGAAAGAUGAGAAGGAUAAUAGUACAGCCCUACUACAUGGCUUGACAUCCUAGGGCAUAAGACAGUAUUUUGGGAAUUAGUUGUUUAGCAGACUGAUGGCCCAGGGGGAAAAAACUGUCCCUGUGUCUAGUUGUUUUGCCAUGCAAUGCCCUAUAGCAGGGGUGUCAAACUCACGUCAUCACGUCAUUGUCACGUGACUUAUCUGGAAUUUCCCCCUCCUUCGCUAAACUGGGAAUGGACAUGGCCAGCACGUGACGCAUCCGGCCCACGGGCCAUGAGUUUGACACCCCUGCCCUAUAGUGUCAUCAUGAGGGAAAAAGUUGAAACACUUUAUGUCCAGGAUGUGAGGAGUUUGUAGAUAAUUUCACAGCCCUCUUUCCGGCUCAUGCUGUAUACAGUUCCAGAUACGGUAUAAAGCAGGAGUCUCC